This 492-nucleotide ribosomal RNA is filed under the name uncultured bacterium. RNAcentral describes it as "partial 16S ribosomal RNA". It matches the Rfam family "Bacterial small subunit ribosomal RNA", at positions 29 to 507 of the family's 1533-position model. The record is from RNAcentral.
AGUGAACGCUGGCGGCAUGCCUAAUACAUGCAAGUCGAGCGGCAGCACAGUAAGAUUUUGCUUCUACCGGUGGCGAGUGGCGGACGGGUGAGGAAUAGAUCGGCAUCUAUUAUUUCGUGGGUGAUAACGGAGGGAAAGUGAUGCUACUAGCGAAUAUGAUCUACGGGAUGAAGCAAUGGAGCUUGGGGGUUUUCGUGACUCAGUUAGCUGAUGUCGGAUUAGCUAGUUGGCGGGGUAAAGGCACACCAAGGCGACGAUCCGUAGCUGGUCUGAGAGGAUGAUCAGCCACACUGGAACUGAGACACGGUCCAGACUCCUACGGGAGGCAGCAGUGGGGAAUAUUGGACAAUGGGCGCAAGCCUGAUCCAGCCAUACCGCGUGGGUGAAGAAGGCCUUCGGGUUGUAAAGCCCUUUUGUUGGGAAAGAAAAGCAGCAGGUUAAUACCCCGCUGUUCUGACGGUACCCAAAGAAUAAGCACCGGCUAACUUCGUG